This 89-nucleotide transfer RNA is filed under the name Lentisphaerota bacterium. RNAcentral's name for it is "Lentisphaerae bacterium (anaerobic digester metagenome) tRNA-Ser". It matches the Rfam family "tRNA". Rfam says of the family: Transfer RNA (tRNA) molecules are approximately 80 nucleotides in length. Their secondary structure includes four short double-helical elements and three loops (D, anti-codon, and T loops). Lineage: Bacteria; Pseudomonadati; Lentisphaerota. The record is from RNAcentral.
GGAGAGAUGCCGGAGCGGUCGAACGGGACGGUCUCGAAAACCGUUGUAGGUUUUUCCUACCCAGGGUUCGAAUCCCUGUCUCUCCGCCA